AAAGAUUUAUCGGCAAGGGAUGAGCCCGCGUAGGAUUAGGUAGUUGGUGGGGUAAAGGCCUACCAAGCCGACGAUCCUUAGCUGGUCUGAGAGGAUGAUCAGCCACACUGGGACUGAGACACGGCCCAGACUCCUACGGGAGGCAGCAGUGGGGAAUAUUGCGCAAUGGGCGGAAGCCUGACGCAGCGACUCCGCGUGGGGGAUGACGGCCUUCGGGUUGUAAACCUCUUUCAGCAGGGACGAAGCGCAAGUGACGGUACCUGCAGAAGAAGCACCGGCCAACUACGUGCCAGCAGCCGCGGUAAUACGUGGGGUGCAAGCGUUGUCCGGAAUUAUUGGGCGUAAAGAGCUCGUAGGCGGUCUGUCGCGUCGGCUGUAAAAACCCGGAGCUCAACUCCGGGCCUGCAGUCGAUACGGGCAGACUGGAGUUCGGCAGGGGAGACUGGAAUUCCUGGUGUAGCGGUGAAAUGCGCAGAUAUCAGGAGGAACACCGGUGGCGAAGGCGGGUUUCUGGGCCGAUACUGACGCUGAGGAGCGAAAGCGUGGGGAGCGAACAGGAUUAGAUACCCUGGUAGUCCACGCCGUAAACGUUGGGCGCUAGGUGUGGGGGCCAUUCCACGGUCUCCGUGCCGCAGCUAACGCAUUAAGCGCCCCGCCUGGGGAGUACGGCC
Molecule: ribosomal RNA, 671 nt
Filed under: uncultured bacterium
Lineage: Bacteria
Description: bacterial SSU rRNA
Rfam family: Bacterial small subunit ribosomal RNA
Source: RNAcentral